UCUCCUUCCAAAUCGAGCCGCGGCGGCUGAGGUCCAACAAAUCCCCAACCCUAAUGGCUUGCCAAUGGCGACGGCGGUGUAGAUCCUGUACCUAGAUGGGCGACCUUGGCUACUGGAGGAAGCUUUCCAUUUCUGCCCCUAGAUGUACCUAGCUGGGCGACCUUGGCUACUGGAGGAAUCUUGGUCGUCUUGUCGCCGGUGGUCGGGCUGCACGGGCGGACCUCUCCUGUGCUGCGCCGCGACGCUGUCCGAGCCAAUCUCCAGCACAUAAGCCUCGAUGAGCAAGAAGCACCAACACCGAAGAUGCUCAUGUCCAAGUGGCCAGAUUACGAGGAGAGAGCAAGACUUGCUUGAUGCCAAAACCCCUGUAACUGAGUGGUCUGUCCACUCUGCUUUGCAUUGAGUUUUUAUCAGAGUUGUAGAUCAUGGACCAAUGGACCAAUCCUUGCCGAGAAUUGAAAUCAGAAUUAUGUAAUUCUGCAUAUGGUAGUUGUUAACCUGCUUUAUGCAUGUUUCUACUGAUUAAUUCUGCUUGUAAUAAGCGUAGAUUAUUGCUGGAUCUUGGUUGCUUCGCUUCCUGCCAUGCUUUUGCUAUUGGAAAGAAUUAUUGUGUUCCUGCAUAUAAGAGCUACUGUGUUUGGAUGAUGG
This 648-nucleotide ribosomal RNA is filed under the name Triticum aestivum (bread wheat). Its description in RNAcentral is "partial small subunit ribosomal RNA". The record is from RNAcentral. Lineage: Eukaryota; Viridiplantae; Streptophyta; Magnoliopsida; Poales; Poaceae.